This 85-nucleotide transfer RNA is filed under the name Felis catus (domestic cat). It matches the Rfam family "tRNA". Rfam says of the family: Transfer RNA (tRNA) molecules are approximately 80 nucleotides in length. Their secondary structure includes four short double-helical elements and three loops (D, anti-codon, and T loops). Lineage: Eukaryota; Metazoa; Chordata; Mammalia; Carnivora; Felidae. The record is from Rfam by way of RNAcentral. RNAcentral also lists the same sequence under 1 other name.
GCCUGGGUGGCUCAGUCGGUUGAGCGUCCGACUUCAGCUCGGGUCAUAAUCUCACGGUUUGUGAGUUUGAGCCCCACGUCGGGCU